AGACUAAGGCCCGCUGGCUUAGGUGAUUAGUUGUUAACUAAUGUUUUGCAGGAUCGAGACUUGCUGGUCUAG
This 72-nucleotide transfer RNA is filed under the name Gekko cf. albofasciolatus. RNAcentral describes it as "partial tRNA-Asn". Lineage: Eukaryota; Metazoa; Chordata; Lepidosauria; Squamata; Gekkonidae. The record is from RNAcentral.